RNAcentral lists this microRNA precursor (106 nucleotides) under Canis lupus dingo (dingo). RNAcentral's name for it is "mir-8834 microRNA precursor family". It matches the Rfam family "mir-8834 microRNA precursor family". The record is from Rfam by way of RNAcentral. Lineage: Eukaryota; Metazoa; Chordata; Mammalia; Carnivora; Canidae.
AGGAGGAACAACCACAGUGGCGGCGGCCAGCUCUGGAGCCCUGGAUUCAGCUCCGGCAGUAUCUACAGAGCUCUCCGUCUGCAGGGCCUGGAGACUCCAGGGUGGG